RNAcentral lists this ribosomal RNA (497 nucleotides) under uncultured bacterium. RNAcentral describes it as "partial 16S ribosomal RNA". It matches the Rfam family "Bacterial small subunit ribosomal RNA", at positions 28 to 507 of the family's 1533-position model. The record is from RNAcentral.
GAUGAACGCUGGCGGCGUGCCUAAUACAUGCAAGUCGAGCGAACAGACGAGGUGCUUGCUCCUCUGACGUUAGCGGCGGACGGGUGAGUAACACGUGGAUAACCUACCUAUAAGACUGGGAUAACUUUGGGAAACCGGAGCUAAUACCGGAUAAUAUAUUGAACCGCAUGGUUCAAUAGUGAAAGACGGUUUUGCUGUCACUUAUAGAUGGAUCCGCGCCGCAUUAGCUAGUUGGUAAGGUAACGGCUUACCAAGGCGACGAUGCGUAGCCGACCUGAGAGGGUGAUCGGCCACACUGGAACUGAGACACGGUCCAGACUCCUACGGGAGGCAGCAGUAGGGAAUCUUCCGCAAUGGGCGAAAGCCUGACGGAGCAACGCCGCGUGAGUGAUGAAGGUCUUCGGAUCGUAAAACUCUGUUAUUAGGGAAGAACAAAUGUGUAAGUAACUAUGCACGUCUUGACGGUACCUAAUCAGAAGGCCACGGCUAACUACGUG